AACGGUAGAGUAGCAAUACUUGAGAGUGGCGAACGGGUGAGUAAUAUAUCGGAACGUGCCCAGUCUGGGGGAUAACGUAGCGAAAGCUACGCUAAUACCGCAUACGAUCUAUGGAUGAAANCGGGGAUCGCAAGACCUCGCGCGAUUGGAGCGGCCGAUAUCAGGAUUAGGGUAGUUGGUGAGGUAAAGGCUCACCAAGCCGACGAUCUGUAGCUGGUCUGAGAGGACGACCAGCCACACUGGGACUGAGACACGGCCCAGACUCCUACGGGAGGCAGCAGUGGGAAUUUUGGACAAUGGGCGCAAGCCUGAUCCAGCAAUGCCGCGUGCAGGAUGAAGGCCUUCGGGUUGUAAACUGCUUUGUACGGAACGAAACGGUGAGCUCUAAUACAGUUUGCUAAUGACGGUACCGUAAGAAUAAGCACCGGCUAACUACGUG
RNAcentral lists this ribosomal RNA (439 nucleotides) under uncultured bacterium. RNAcentral's name for it is "bacterial SSU rRNA". It matches the Rfam family "Bacterial small subunit ribosomal RNA", at positions 65 to 507 of the family's 1533-position model. The record is from RNAcentral.